Molecule: ribosomal RNA, 253 nt
Filed under: uncultured bacterium
Lineage: Bacteria
Description: partial 16S ribosomal RNA
Rfam family: Bacterial small subunit ribosomal RNA
Source: RNAcentral
UACGUAGGGACCAAGCGUUGUUCGGACUUACUGGGCGUAAAGGGCGCGUAGGCGGCGCGGUAAGUCACUUGUGAAAUCUCUGAGCUUAACUCAGAACGGCCAAGUGAUACUGCAGUGCUAGAGUGUGGAAGGGGCAAUCGGAAUUCUUGGUGUAGCGGUGAAAUGUGUUGAUAUUGGAAGGAACGCCGGUGGCGAAAGCGACACACUGGACCUUGUCUGACGCUGAGGCACGAAAGCCAGGGGAGCAAACGGG